CCUAAUACAUGCAAGUCGAACGCUUCUUUCCUCCCGAGUGCUUGCACUCAAUUGGAAAGAGGAGUGGCGGACGGGUGAGUAACACGUGGGUAACCUACCCAUCAGAGGGGGAUAACACUUGGAAACAGGUGCUAAUACCGCAUAACAGUUUAUGCGCGCAUGGCAUAAGAGUGAAAGGCGCUUUCGGGUGUCGCUGAUGGAUGGACCCGCGGUGCAUUAGCUAGUUGGUGAGGUAACGGCUCACCAAGGCCACGAUGCAUAGCCGACCUGAGAGGGUGAUCGGCCACACUGGGACUGAGACACGGCCCAGACUCCUACGGGAGGCAGCAGUAGGGAAUCUUCGGCAAUGGACGAAAGUGUGGAGCGAGCAACGCCGCGUGAGUGAAGAAGGUUUUCGGAUCGUAAAACUCUGUUGUUAGAGAAGAACAAGGACGUUAGUAACUGACCGCCCCCCCCGCCGGUAUCUAACCAGAAAGCCACGGCUAACUACGUGCCAGCAGCCG
RNAcentral lists this ribosomal RNA (503 nucleotides) under Enterococcus faecalis. Its description in RNAcentral is "bacterial SSU rRNA". It matches the Rfam family "Bacterial small subunit ribosomal RNA", at positions 47 to 517 of the family's 1533-position model. Lineage: Bacteria; Bacillati; Bacillota; Bacilli; Lactobacillales; Enterococcaceae. The record is from RNAcentral.